AGAGUUUGAUCAUGGCUCAGGACGAACGCUGGCGGCGUGGAUAAGGCAUGCAAGUCGAACGCGAACGGAAUGACUAACUCGUUAGAAGUUCCUAGUAGAGUGGCGAACGGGUGAGUAACGCGUGGAUAACGUGCCUCUCAGUGGGGAAUAACACAGGGAAACUUGUGCUAAUACCGCAUACGUCCUUCCGGCCAAGUCGGAAUGAUGAAAGGUGGGGACCUUCGGGCCUGCCGCUGAGAGAUCGGUCCGCGUCCCAUUAGCUUGUUGGUGGGGUAACGGCCUACCAAGGCAGUGAUGGGUAGCCGGCCUGAGAGGGUGACCGGCCACACUGGGAUUGAGAUACGGCCCAGACUCCUUCGGGAGGCAGCAGUCGAGAAUCUUCCACAAUGGACGAAAGUCUGAUGGAGCGACGCCGCGUGAGUGAUGAAGGCCCUACGGGUUGUAAAACUCUGUCAGGAGAGAAGAAUCGCCGGGGUGCCAAUACCAUCCUGGUCUGACGUUAUCUCCAGAGGAAGCUCCGGCUAACUCCGUGCCAGCAGCCGCGGUAAUACGGGGGGAGCAAGCGUUGUCCGGAAUUAUUGGGCGUAAAGGGCGUGUAGGCGGCCUGGUCAGUCGAAUGUGAAAUCCCACGGCUCAACCGUGGAAUUGCGUUCGAUACUGCCUGGCUUGAGUAUGUGAGAGGUGUGCGGAAUUCCUGGUGUAGCGGUGGAAUGCGUAGAUAUCAGGAAGAACACCGAUGGCGAAGGCAGCACACUGGCGCAAUACUGACGCUGAGGCGCGAAAGCGUGGGGAGCAAACAGGAUUAGAUACCCUGGUAGUCCACGCUGUAACGAUGGUACUGGGUUUCGGGGGUCUCAACCCUCUCGGAGCCGUAGCUAACGCGUUGAGUACCCCGCCUGGGGAGUACGGUCGCAAGGCUGAAACUCAAUGAAUUGACGG
RNAcentral lists this ribosomal RNA (939 nucleotides) under bacterium enrichment culture clone B6_186. RNAcentral's name for it is "bacterial SSU rRNA". It matches the Rfam family "Bacterial small subunit ribosomal RNA", at positions 8 to 916 of the family's 1533-position model. The record is from RNAcentral.